UUGCCCGUAGCUCAGUUGGUUAGAGCGCUGGAUUGUGGCUCCAGAGGUCGCCGGUUCGAGUCCGGUCGGGCACC
This 74-nucleotide transfer RNA is filed under the name Lawsonibacter asaccharolyticus. RNAcentral's name for it is "tRNA-His". It matches the Rfam family "tRNA". Rfam says of the family: Transfer RNA (tRNA) molecules are approximately 80 nucleotides in length. Lineage: Bacteria; Bacillati; Bacillota; Clostridia; Eubacteriales; Oscillospiraceae. The record is from RNAcentral.